CGCUGCCGCAGCCUCCGCCGCUCCAGCCCCGGCUCGGCAGCGCGUCCCCUCCCCGCCUCGCCGCUCCGCUCGCGGGCUCGCGGGCUCCCUCGCUCUCUCCCUUCCCCCGCCGCUGCCGGCGCCGCGCCGAGCGGAGCCCGGCCGGCCACGGGCUGCCUCUCCCGAGGUCCCUUUCCCGAGGGGGGGAGGUGGUGGGGGCGCGGCGCAGGCGGGGCGGGGAGGAGAGGAGAGUCCGGGGGAGGCGGCAAGGCUGCGCCCUCGGCUCCCCUCCGAUCCCCGCGGGCCCAGCGGCCCCAGGCCGGGCCGGAGAGCGCCGAGCCGCCAGGCAGUGGAGGAAGAGAGGAGGAGGACCCGGAGUCUCGCCGCGGGAGGGUGCCCAGGGCGAGGGCGUGCGAGGGGGAGUGACUCCGCGCGCGAGGGGCAGCAGCACCUGCUUGAGACCAAGCCCGGCGACCUGGCAAGGUGGGGCCCCCUACCGCGCAAUCUUUGCGGCUGGCCCCCGGCUCUCAGCUCCGAGUGCAGAGGCUGAAGAGGUACCCGGGGGACACACUGCCUCUAACCCCACCUAUGAGCCGCUCUCCUCUCGGAGGACGAAGGCACCAUCAGAAGGUCGAGAUUCGCCCUCCUCUCCCGCCACGUCUACCCACUACCUAGACCGGGAGUCUGGACUUGGGAGCGUGAACUCUCACCCGAGCCGGUCCCCUUACAACUGGAGCCCGCCCAGCCCCUCAGUCCCUCCCUGAAGCCCAUGGGUCCCCACUGCUCCGUGCCUCGUCGACCCAGGAUGGGGAGUGGGAAGGUCAGCAUGUGCCCACAGGGCCAGGUGUCCGGCCCAGAUUCCCACCCUCAGGGCGGCGGCGCGCAAAGGGCGCAGUCCCCGCCGCUGGGCGGACCCGCGGCUCCGGCUUUCCCGGUGUCUCCAGCCUCGGUGCCCGGAAUCCUGGAUCUCGGCCUGGCGCUCCGGAAGCGAGGCAG
Homo sapiens (human) is the source of this 975-nucleotide long non-coding RNA. Ensembl annotates it as long intergenic non-protein coding RNA 1750. The record is from Ensembl. NCBI's taxonomy places the organism in Eukaryota, Metazoa, Chordata, Mammalia, Primates, Hominidae.